This is a long non-coding RNA of Physella acuta, 256 nucleotides long. RefSeq lists it as uncharacterized. Lineage: Eukaryota; Metazoa; Mollusca; Gastropoda; Physidae. The record is from RefSeq and is a predicted model, not a curated record.
UAGCACAUUAUCUUUCAGACAACAAUUUAGGGCUCAUGUUUUUGUACAGAAAUUUAUUUAUUGAGUCGCAUUAAGUGAAGUUAAUUGUUAUGAUAGAAAAAGCAGCUAUAAUUAUAACAUUCAAUAUGUUAUUCUGUAAUCAUUACUCCAUCGCAGUGCUGGUGAUUUCAUAAGUAUCUCUAGCCAGAGGCGUCGCGAGGCGGGGGCAGGGGGUGCACAUCGCACCGGGUGACACCAUUUAAAGGGGUGAUACCAA